UACAGAGGGUGCGAGCGUUGUCCGGAAUCACUGGGCGUAAAGGGCGCGUAGGUGGCGCCCCAAGUCAGUGGUGAAAGCUCGCCGCUUAACGGCGAGUCGGCCACUGAGACUGGGGGGCUCGAGCACUGUAGAGGCAGAUGGAAUUCCGGGUGUAGCGGUGGAAUGCGUAGAGAUCCGGAAGAACACCGGUGGCGAAGGCGGUCUGCUGGGCAGUAGCUGACACUGAGGCGCGACAGCGUGGGGAGCAAACAGGAUUAGAAACCCCUGUAGUCC
Molecule: ribosomal RNA, 273 nt
Filed under: uncultured bacterium
Lineage: Bacteria
Description: partial 16S ribosomal RNA
Rfam family: Bacterial small subunit ribosomal RNA
Source: RNAcentral